AUUCCCUGGCAGGAGAUUUAGAAUCCCUGUACGUGAGCCGCACGAGCUUGCUGAACGUGAGCGCCCAUGAACGAACAGACGACUCGAUGCCUGUACCUGUCGAUGCGGAGUACGAGUCAUCCGGGGACGAGAGCGAAGUUGAACAGGAUCCCACGCCUGGCAUCAGUCAAGAAGAUCCAUCAAAGGCUUAAGAUUUGGAUGAUUUACUGACCAAAGUGAAAGAAAAGAGCGUUAUGGAUUCUUCAGACGAGACACAACAUACAGGAUAAAUAAAUGUUUUGUAUCUGAUUGCCGUAAUAGUUCGUGAGAAUUUAGUGUGGUGUCAUAAGGAUACUUUUUUUUGAGGGGGGUGGGGUUGAAGGAGUGGUUCAUUUACUUGAGUAAACAAGACUAGAAAGGAAACAAAAUUUCUUUUAUAAUGUCAGAUUAUUGUCCGUGCUACAAGCUUUGACAUAUUAUUGAUUAUCAUUAAGUUAUCCAUAGAAUGAUAUGUCCUUUUUAUUAUCUUUUUUUCUCACAACUGCAGUGUAAGUGCAGCUUCCGGAAUGUAGAAUUUUUCAUGAAGUGAAAAAAAUAUAACCAGAAAAUAUUGGGUCAAAAUGUGAUGAACAUGAACAUGGAAUGUCCAGUCUAUAUUUAUUUUGCAUGUGUAUGAAAAAUAUGAGGAAAUAAACCUUUGCCAAAAAAUUAUA
Non-coding RNA from Penaeus vannamei (Pacific white shrimp), 692 nucleotides. The record is from RefSeq and is a predicted model, not a curated record. Lineage: Eukaryota; Metazoa; Arthropoda; Malacostraca; Decapoda; Penaeidae.